UACGAAGGUGGCAAGCGUUACCCGGAUUAAUUGGGCGUAAAGCGUCCGCAGGCGGUUUGAUAAGUCUCUCGUCAAAUCCUGAAGCUUAACUUCAGGGCUGCGAGGGAAAGUGUCAUUCUUGAGACUGGAAGAGGCAAGCGGAAUUAUCGGUGUAGCGGUAAAAUGCGUUAAUAUCGAUAAGAACACCAAAGGCGAAGGCAGCUUGCUGGUACAGUUCUGACGUUAAGGGACGAAAGCGUGGGGAGCGAAUGGG
RNAcentral lists this ribosomal RNA (253 nucleotides) under uncultured bacterium. RNAcentral describes it as "partial 16S ribosomal RNA". It matches the Rfam family "Bacterial small subunit ribosomal RNA", at positions 524 to 776 of the family's 1533-position model. The record is from RNAcentral.